Molecule: ribosomal RNA, 459 nt
Filed under: uncultured bacterium
Lineage: Bacteria
Description: partial 16S ribosomal RNA
Rfam family: Bacterial small subunit ribosomal RNA
Source: RNAcentral
CCUACGGGAGGCAGCAGUGAGGAAUAUUGGUCAAUGGGCGCGAGCCUUAACCAGCCAAGUCGCGUGAGGGAAGACGGUCCUAUGGAUUGUAAACCUCUUUUUUCGGAGCGCAAAAGACGCCACGCGUGGCGUUCCGAGAGUACCCGAAGAAAAAGCAUCGGCUAACUCCGUGCCAGCAGCCGCGGUAAUACGGAGGAUGCGAGCGGUGUCCGGGUGUAUUGGGUUUAAGGGGUGCGGAGGGGUAAGAUCAAGUCAGCGGUAAAAUUGAGAGGCUUAACCUCUUGGAGCCGUUGAAACUGGUUUUCGUGAGUGAGCGAGAGGUAUGCGGAAUGCGUGGUGUAGCGGUGAAAGGCAUAGAUAUCACGCAGAACUGCGAUUGCGAAGGCAGCAUACCGGCGCUCAACUGACGCUCAUGCACGAAAGUGUGGGUAUCGAACAGGAUUAGAUACCCUUGUAGUC